RNAcentral lists this ribosomal RNA (575 nucleotides) under Parcubacteria group bacterium GW2011_GWA2_50_10. RNAcentral's name for it is "bacterial LSU rRNA". It matches the Rfam family "Bacterial large subunit ribosomal RNA", at positions 15 to 635 of the family's 2925-position model. The record is from RNAcentral.
AAGCAAAUGGUGGAUGCCUUGGGAUAUGAAGGCGAUGAAGGACGUGGCGUGCCUGCGAAAAGCCUCGGGGAGGUGGUUAGCAACCUGCGAUCCGGUAGUAGCGGCGAGCGAAAAGGGAAGAGCCCAAACCACUUUUUCUCGCAAGAGAAAAAGUGGGGUUGCAAGGAAAUAGCGUCGGGAGCCCUGCUCUGAACCAAGAAGUUCUGGUGUUCAGAGUAGCGCUUGACCGAGGGAGUCCAAAAAACAAGGGUUGGUUAAAAGAAGCUUCCUGGAACGGAGCGCCAAAGAGGGUAAAAGCCCCGUAUUUGAAAAUUCCUUUGUGCUCCUUGCUGUUUUACUUAAGUACCUUGGGAAACGAAAGUCCCGAGGGAACCAUCCCGGACUGCCGGGAAAGGCUAAAUACUUCAUAUCACCGAUAGUGAACCAGUACCGUGAGGGAAAGGUGAAAAGCAGCCCGUUGAGGGCGGUGAAAUAGAACCUGAAACCAUUUUGCUUACAAAGAGUAGGAGUCUCUCCGCCGCAAGGCGUCGAGAUGACUGCGUGCUUUUUGCAGAACGACCCAGCGAGUUUACGGA